This 77-nucleotide transfer RNA is filed under the name Burkholderia sp. M701. RNAcentral's name for it is "tRNA-Arg". It matches the Rfam family "tRNA". From Rfam's summary of the family: Transfer RNA (tRNA) molecules are approximately 80 nucleotides in length. Their secondary structure includes four short double-helical elements and three loops (D, anti-codon, and T loops). Further hydrogen bonds mediate the characteristic L-shaped molecular structure. tRNAs have two regions of fundamental functional importance: the anti-codon, which is responsible for specific mRNA codon recognition, and the 3' end, to which the tRNAs corresponding amino acid is attached (by aminoacyl-tRNA synthetases). tRNAs cope with the degeneracy of the genetic code in two manners: having more than one tRNA (with a specific anti-codon) for a particular amino acid; and 'wobble' base-pairing, i.e. permitting non-standard base-pairing at the 3rd anti-codon position. RNAcentral also lists the same sequence under 1 other name. Lineage: Bacteria; Pseudomonadati; Pseudomonadota; Betaproteobacteria; Burkholderiales; Burkholderiaceae. The record is from RNAcentral.
GCGUGCUUAGCUCAACCGGAUAGAGCAGUGGCCUUCUAAGCCUCAGGUUGCGGAUUCGAGUUCCGCAGCAUGCACCA